Long non-coding RNA from Piliocolobus tephrosceles (Ugandan red Colobus), 2099 nucleotides. RefSeq lists it as uncharacterized. The transcript has 2 exons. The record is from RefSeq and is a predicted model, not a curated record. Lineage: Eukaryota; Metazoa; Chordata; Mammalia; Primates; Cercopithecidae.
AGCCUGGAAUAUGGCCUUGUGGGCCCUUCCCGCCCAAUCCCCUAUGACCCCGCUGCUCAUCUUGUCAACCAGUUUCUGAGCCCCUACCCUGGCUGCAGCACGCGCUUGCACAGGCGCGCUGAGCUACUAACAUAGAAUCAAAAGCAGGGGGUUGGGUGUUCUUGCUUUCCCGCUGAAGCCUAGAAUGUAAGCAAGCCCUAGACCAUCAGCUCUGGGUGGGUAGGGGCCUCUCCCUGCCUAGAACUGCACUUGCCAUGGGUAGGCACCUAACCCUUAUUAGUAAAGGGUCAAACAACCUGCUGCCCGGAUACUGACCUUCACCACUUACCUCUUGCUCCCAGCCCAAGCGCACUUCAGAGCAUUGCCUCAUUCAGGUCCCUGGAGUCCUAAGGGUUUUAGUCUCUCAGUAUGGGCAACUAUUCACAUGUAAGGGAGCUGCAGGUGUUAUUUCAAUGCCAUCUGGCCUCUAUAAGGUCUUGCAUCAUAGCUAACCUCUCAUGAGAAGGUUCUGAUGAGGUUACCAGGGAGAAGGAAUGUAAAGGGCUGGUGGCUGAAAAGGAGUGAAAUGGCCCCUCUUAGGUGAGCUCUGGCUUGGUUUGAGUUUCAACUCUGUCUCCUCAGCUCCAUUUCUCAAUGGGAAAAGGUUCAUAGGAAGGUUGUCAGAAAGGCAAGAGACUAGGCCAUGGACGGCCCUUUGCAGACCCUGAAAAAUUGCUCAGUAAUGCAAAAAUUGUCCAUAUUUAAGUUAUUUCUUUUCUAUCUCGUGAACCAAAGGACUGCUACAGGCAAGGAAGACCAUCUGACUCAGUUCCAGGGGUUCCUUAGCAUGCUGCUGAUUGGCCUAGGAGAAUGGCCUUUGCCCAUAAAGUAUUAGAUGUAGACCACAUGAAUGGAGUAUUCACCAGGUUUCUGUCCAGGUCUGGAUUGGGUAGAAACAUGGCUGGAGGUGCCACACAGGAGAGCUAAAGAAGAGAAGACUUGACUCCCAACCUGAUUCUAGCAGAACUCCACUUUGAUGUGUUUUUAAAAUUGUGCUCUUCUGUUUGCUUUCAUGGAGGCUGCCAUGAAACAUCUUUGACUAGAAUUACCAGGAAAUGCUCAAGGAAGAAAUAUAUGUCCUUGGAUUUUUUUUCCUACCACACUUCAGGAUAUAACUAGAGAAAACGUUUGCCAACAGUGCUUAUCAUAUUAGUACCCUCUGAAGCUUUUCAUAGAUGCUGAUUAUUAUUUUUAAAAUCAUUUUGGGAAUAGGAGCCAAACACUAGGUCGUGACUGUAAAUUACUUUAGUAUUUACAUUACAUGAUGAAAAAUGGAAAUAAAGGAAAUUUCCUGUCAUGAAACAAGUUAGAAUUAAGCAGGUGACUUUCAUGUCCCGAUUUCCAAAGUUUUCUGUUUGUUUCAGACAGAUAAGAUCAUCCAUGGGUUCUUGGACAAGUAACAGGUCUCAUUUUCCCUUGUAGAACAGAAGACAUGGAAAAGACAGCAUAUUCAGACUAUAUUCGUAUUUCCAUACCAUCUUUUGUUGUAAUUGAUUUUCAACAAGAGUCCCUAACAAUCUCUUGAGUUUGGGCCAUCCCCAUAUUCUACAAGGGAAAAUAAGAUCUGUUACUACUCCAGUAACCCAUGCUCACACUAUCUGUAUGGAACACAGAACCAUGAAAAUCUGGAUGCAGAAGUCACUUGUUUAGUUCCAAUCUAUUUUGCGAAAGGAAAUUUCUUUUACUGAAAGAGAUGAAGAAAUUUACAGAAUGGCUUUGGAAUGAGAAGAUUCAGGUGGGACCAUGGAAGCAAGGCUCGUUCUUUAGUGAAUGGAAGUUUGAAAGAAAGAAAAAUAUGCCAAGAUGAUUAAGUUUCACCUAAGAUUUUAAAGCUCCCAUCUAAAAGAUGUGGAAAACAAGCACUAUACCAGAAUAUUGUACCUGAUUUCUGCCCUGUCUUAAAACACCAUGACAUUUUCCUUGAUUUCAAGAAUACAGAAAAUGAACAUGGUCCUUUAAAUUAUGUGACUCUUUCAAAGCAAAAUGGAAACAAGGAAAAACCACAUUUGUUUUCUGCCUCCCUUUUCCAAAAAGCUGAAACUACAGUGCAAAUGAACUCU